UCUAGAACUCCAGAUAUGGGCCAAACACUGAACAGUAUUCGGGCUGCAGGACAGAUUCAAACUUCUUUGUUGUUGCUACAAUUUGGACUUGAAAAUGGUCUUUUUAAAUCUUGAGCUCCUCUAAAAGUUGUAGGCCUAUGUCUUACAUUUCCAUC
This is a non-coding RNA of Populus trichocarpa (black cottonwood), 155 nucleotides long. Lineage: Eukaryota; Viridiplantae; Streptophyta; Magnoliopsida; Malpighiales; Salicaceae. The record is from Rfam.